This 66-nucleotide transfer RNA is filed under the name Micromelo undatus (miniature melo). RNAcentral's name for it is "Micromelo undata (miniature melo) tRNA-Arg". Lineage: Eukaryota; Metazoa; Mollusca; Gastropoda; Aplustridae. The record is from RNAcentral.
AAACGAAAAGCGAUAUAUUGCACUAAGUUUCGGCCUUAGCCUUGAGAAAUAAUUCUCUUCGUUUGC